CUCAAACGUGAUCCUGGGUUGCACUGAUUGGCGCAUACAAGUCAACAUAAGUGAUAAAACUAUCACACAUCGAACUAAAAAAAUAAUAUGGAAGGAAUUCUUCACGUGGAAAUUAAAAAAGACAAUUUAAAUGAACUGUGUUUAUAUAUAUAUAUAUGUUUUUUCUGCAAGGCACUUCAAAAUUUUUUCUUGAAGCAUCAUUCGCUAAUGUUGCAAAGUUGGAGAAAAGGGUUAUCAAACUUUACAUAUCUAGACCAGAAAGGCUUGUAUUUGGAGAUAGCCAAAUCCAACCAAGGCUUGUAAUUUCCAUUGUAAUGAACUACAGCUGCAUUCUCAAUCUCCGUUUGGUUAAGGGCUGGAUCAUAACCAAGUCCCAGGACAUGCCAGGUACGAUCCAGUGGAAAGGUUAGAUUAUAGAAAGUGAUCAAUCCUGGUGGCAAUGUGCCCAAUUUCCAUAGAGUUCUAUCCUCAUUCAGAUCUUGCCAAUGAUGAUAUAUUCCAGUGAUAUUUUGCCUUCUCCACUCCUUCAAGUCAAACAUAUUCAUUCCAAAUGCCCAGCCACAAGCAUUUGGGCUGAAAUUCUCAUAGAUCUUUGGAUUAGAAAAAUUGAGAUACUUAUCAAACCUAUGAAAGCUCUCCUUACAAGUCUCCACUGCACCAUUUACCAUCCCCUUCAGAUCAACAGACCAAAGUGGCGUCAAAUCCUUCUGAACUACAAUAUCAUCAUCCAAAAAAAGGAUCUUAUCUAGCUUUGGGUAAACUUCAGGAAGGUAGAACCUAAGAUGAUUCAGCAUAGACAAAUAUUUUGGAUUCCUAUAUUUGAGAUUAUCAGAUCCAGCAGUGAGGGAGGAAGGAUGAUUUGCCUUAAAGUAGUAUUCCUUAAUCCUGGCAGAUUCAAGCUGACGUAGAACAGAACAAUAUGAGGCAUUCAACCACUUAAAAUCAUCAAUAUUCUGAACAUGGACGGUUACUUUUGCAGGGGGGUUGAUAAGAAACCACAUUUUCAUUGCAGCGAAGUUCAGUUUAUCUGUGACUAUAUGGAAAACAUGUUUUUCAGAAUCUAAUGCAUGGAGCACAGUAGAAUUAACCACUACAGAUGUUGCUAGUACAUUAUCUGAAAAGAUAGCAUAGUGAUACAGAGAAGGAUCCUCAAGCUUUUCUUUGUUUGGAUACUCUCUAUUUUGAUGACCAUGCAAGAAAUAGUCAGCUGCAAGGCGCAAAGGAAGACAAUGCAAUGGUUUUGGAAUUGUUUUUGCAGCCAGUUGAAUCAAGAAGGCACUCUUCUUCUUCAGAGCAUUUACAUUCUCUUCAUUUGACUGAAGCAUAGCUCGUAACUUCCGUAACAUAGUAGGACAUUCAUAUAAUCUAUCCUUUGCUAUAGAGAGCACAUGACCCAUAGCUUUUGCUCGAACAAGUGCACUAGGUUGAAGCUCAGCAUCUGAUGUAGCUUCUCCAAUGGCAUGUUGACUUUCUCUAGAGUGUUCCAUAAGUGAGUCAUAAAGGCCGGUUUCAUUAUCAGAUUUGGCUAUAUUUGCAUAUGCUUUGGCCAUAAUAAUCUGAUCCCGCAUUAGUUUCAACAUAGAAUCAGAAUUUGGAUUUUCGUAGUCUCUUCUCCAUAUACUGUACUUUCCCUUGACCGUGGUGUCCAUGCUUUCAGAUUGUUUUAUUGCAGCUGCUCGUGUCUGGUUGUCAGCUUCUUUAUCUUGCUGAAUUAACAAUGCAGUUCGGAGAUCCCUCCUUCUUUUCCUCAUUACCUGAAGUGCAAACAAUUGUCAUUACAACCAAAUUAAGUGCACCGAAUACAAAUCGUAAACACAAGGCGAUUGACAGUUCACCCGGCGCCGCAGCUUCACUGGGGUUGUUGCUAAAUUAGGAGGAUGGUGAUUCCCAGAAUUGUCGACAUCAUCUUGAUGUUUGGUAACAGAUUGAAAUGAGUCCUUUGAUGUCUGUGAGAAGGAAGUGCCAAGGAAAACUUCCUGUCAAGAUCAGUAACUUGGAAACUCAAGUGCCUUCAUCCAUGAACUAAAUCAAAAGUUUUAACAUUUUAUUUAUCUUUCAUCCAAUAAGGCUAUCAAAAUUAGUGGAAAAUGUUUUUCAAUAAAGUUGUUCUUUAUUUUGCUGUGAUUGUUUCUAUUGAAAACUCAACGCUAAAACCACUUGGUGUUACCAAGGAAGCCUUUGGCUGAUCAUGGCCUUUAUCUACGGGGUUUUGCAAAACCCAGGAAGCAGACAAGUCCUUCAUUUUCACCCUCCUAAUCUGAAUACUGCCAGAAGUUCCACUAUAUGCCGCAAUUAUGUCAAUAUCCUGAAUGAAAUGUGCAUAUAUAAGCAUCAAAAAAAUUAACUGAAAAGACAGAUGAUAUUGAUUACCUUUUCAUCCAGAGGAUUUCCAAGUCCAGCACCAGAAAAAAUGUCCUGAUCCUUUAUAAGCUGUGCACCCUCUAAAAAUGAUAACACAUACACUUGAACCAAAGCCCUUUUCGUUAUCACAUCCUUCACAAUCGAACAAUGGCUGAUGUGCUCUCACCUCCCUUUGAACAGGUGGAUUGACUGAUGACUCUGCACCGAUUAGAACAACAUGAAACAGAACCAGUGAGAUGGGUAGCAGAGAAGCCAGGGUCCAGAAUGGAAAAGUAGGAGAUUCCAUUGGAACGAACAAGGAGAAAGAGAUCGAUACCGUUGAAAAACCGAAAGGCAAGGCUUUAAAAUUUAGGCACAAAUGGUCUAAUUUUUGGGUUUGAUAUG
Molecule: unclassified non-coding RNA, 2745 nt
Filed under: Hevea brasiliensis (rubber tree)
Lineage: Eukaryota; Viridiplantae; Streptophyta; Magnoliopsida; Malpighiales; Euphorbiaceae
Source: RNAcentral